RNAcentral lists this small nucleolar RNA (129 nucleotides) under Procavia capensis (Cape rock hyrax). RNAcentral describes it as "Small nucleolar RNA SNORA70 (ENSPCAG00000020225.1)". It matches the Rfam family "Small nucleolar RNA SNORA70". Rfam says of the family: snoRNA U70 seems to be exclusive to mammals and is a member of the H/ACA class of snoRNA which contain H (ANANNA) and ACA box motifs. H/ACA box snoRNAs are involved in the conversion of uridines to pseudouridines (5-ribosyluracil) a constituent of structural RNAs (transfer, ribosomal, small nuclear, and small nucleolar). Lineage: Eukaryota; Metazoa; Chordata; Mammalia; Hyracoidea; Procaviidae. The record is from RNAcentral.
CUGCAGCCAGUUAAACCAACUGUCCUCCUUCCCUCUGGGCUUGAGUCCAGUGGAUUCACACAACAGCCUCCUAGAUAAUGCCUGCAGCCUGGUGCAAGUCUGGGUUCCCUCAGGGACUUGGAGGUGGCC